CCAUAUACUCUUCUUAUGCUAUAUAAAUGUAUAUGGUAUGUUAUUAAUUUAUCAUCUAGCAUUAGGAAACUGAUCCAUGUUUUUAUGUCCACCAAAUUAGGAUAUUCUUGCUACAUAAUUUUGGGGUUUUAAUAUACUUCCUCCUCUUUUUGCCUCUCUUUCUUGUGCUGUUUUUGUUUGUUUUCCCAAUUUAUGUUACUUUUACCAAAAACUCUAUAUACCAACUUAGUAAGAGAGGGAAUACUUUUUCGGUGACAUGGUAAUAGAUCUUUAUGCCCUUUAUUCAUUUAUUAUGUUUUAAGUCUCCACUGGCAAUUGGUGAAAACUUUCUAAGUGAAUGCAUUGACAUAUUUCAUCUGAAGGUCUACUUCUGAGGAUGCUUCAGCGUUCCUUUCCUUGAUGAAGAGUGGAACUCUUGAUGUAUUAUUGUCACAGGGAAAGGAGUAUGUGCAUGUGAUUAGCUCAGAUAACUCUGCUGCUGCCAUUGAUCCUA
RNAcentral lists this unclassified non-coding RNA (493 nucleotides) under Hevea brasiliensis (rubber tree). The record is from RNAcentral. Lineage: Eukaryota; Viridiplantae; Streptophyta; Magnoliopsida; Malpighiales; Euphorbiaceae.